UAGAGGAACUAAAUAGUAGUUUGAUUAGCAUUAGGAUCUGUUAACUAAUGGAAAAAUUGACGGAGAUAAACAGUUUAAUGAAAGUGAAUUACAAAGGAUUAAAUAGUAAUUUCUUCUAAAUUAUAUCUUAUUCUUUGAAAAUAAGAAAAUCAAUUUUUUACUCUGGCAAAUAAAAAUUAGGUUAAAUUGACCCCAAAGUUGAUUUUGGUUUUAAUUGAACAUCUAGAACAAGUUCAAUGGUGCAUUUGAACUUUAUGCCCAAAAUCUAUCACUGAUGAAUAUGAUAACUUCCCAUUAAUAGUUGUAUGUGCAUGUUUGUUUUCUCACAGAUAAAUUCCUUCUCGCUCUUGUAAUUCAUUACCCCUCCCCAGUGAGGAAAUAUAAAUGGAUAACAGUAAUAAUCAUG
This 406-nucleotide unclassified non-coding RNA is filed under the name Hevea brasiliensis (rubber tree). Lineage: Eukaryota; Viridiplantae; Streptophyta; Magnoliopsida; Malpighiales; Euphorbiaceae. The record is from RNAcentral.